CCUACGGGACGCAGCAGUGGGGGAUAUUGCACAAUGGGGGGAACCCUGAUGCAGCGACGCCGCGUGGGUGAAGGAGCGUUUCGGCGCGUAAAGCCCUAUCGGCAGGGAAGAAGAUGACGGUACCUGACCAAGAAGCCCCGGCUAACUACGUGCCAGCAGUCGCGGUAAUACGUAGGGGGCAAGCGUUAUCCGGAUUUACUGGGUGUAAAGGGGGCGCAGACGGCAAUGCAAGCCAGGAGUGAAAGCCCGGGGCCCAACCCCGGGACUGCUCUGGAAACUGUACGGCUGGAGUGCAGGAGGGGUAA
This 305-nucleotide ribosomal RNA is filed under the name uncultured bacterium. RNAcentral describes it as "bacterial SSU rRNA". It matches the Rfam family "Bacterial small subunit ribosomal RNA", at positions 338 to 660 of the family's 1533-position model. The record is from RNAcentral.